Molecule: long non-coding RNA, 1212 nt
Organism: Cavia porcellus (domestic guinea pig)
Lineage: Eukaryota; Metazoa; Chordata; Mammalia; Rodentia; Caviidae
Exons: 5
Source: RefSeq, a predicted model, not a curated record
GCAGAGUUAGCACUUCCUCGUCCUCUUCCACACUCAGGUCCUCUUCACCUGUGGGGAAGGGAACCACAGAGGCGUUAGCUGCCAGCCUGGCCCGGAGUUCCCCAGCUGUGACCACUUCCUUCAAAAUUCAACCCAGAAGACCGUAUUGGUGAUGGCACUCUGAGGCUGUCACUCCAGUUAUGCACGUGAGACCACCGCCAUCUUCCAUCUCAACCCCUCUGCUUUCCCGGAAGGUUCUUUUAUGCCUCGUCUCCAUGGUGUCCCAACAGUCCAGCUCUUUUCUUACAGCCAGAAACCAACGGCCCAUCUACAUGGUUCCAGGUUGCAGUUUCAUCCCUGCCGCCGCCAAGCGUGAAAUUAUUUUUUGAUGCAUAGCAUGUUUUGCAUUCCUACCUGGAGCACUCAGACUUCCAGAGGAGUCCAGGUGUUGCUUUGAUGACUGGUUACCAGGAGGAAUAAUUGGUGGGCUCAGUACACUUAACCAGUCCCUGCGAAAGAAAGCAAGAAGAGGAAGUGAGCGAACAACACGUCUACAAUUCCACGUACAGAUUCCAUGUUUGAUGGUGGGAAACUGGAAGACAGAUUUUGUGAAGACAAGGGACCUGAGGAUGGGGAAAGAUGGAAGGAAGAGAGAAGUAACAAGGGUCCAGAUGCGCUAUGUGUUUGUACCAACUCCCCACAAGGAAUGUCCUUCACUUGUAUCAGAACUGACAUCAAUAAAAACUUUUUUAAAGUGGGUGGAAAACAUUUGGCAUGAAUCUAGACACGGUUACACUCCAUGAACUCCAGCUGUGCCACUGUCACCUUCAUCAUCAACAGGGAUCAUGGUGUGGCUCUACUCACACGGUCUCUUCUAUCAGAGAGGAUCGUGGCUCCGUUAUCCUCAUGUAUUUACUUAUUUCCUGAGUUACAGAAAAAGCCCAAAAUAGUUUCAGAAUUGCUAAGCAAAACAAAGGAAAAAACCCAUUAACACAAAGCAGAAAUGAAGACAAACAGCGCACUCCACACCCAUUCUUCAGAGCUGUUUGCUAUUGUUGUUGGCCAAAUAUUCUGUGCACAAUCCAUGCUGUGGUUUCUCCCUGGGCUCAGUGUUGUCAUCUGCAUCUGAAACACAAUCACCUGCCUUUGACUGUAUUACAUUUUAGGUCUUUUUCUUCCAUUCUUGCUGAUUUCUAUUAUUUUUAACUGUUGAAUAUAUAAAAGAUUAACACA